This 253-nucleotide ribosomal RNA is filed under the name uncultured bacterium. Its description in RNAcentral is "partial 16S ribosomal RNA". It matches the Rfam family "Bacterial small subunit ribosomal RNA", at positions 524 to 776 of the family's 1533-position model. The record is from RNAcentral.
UACGUAGGGGGCAAGCGUUGUCCGGAUUUAUUGGGCGUAAAGAGCGUGUAGGCGGCUUGGUAGGUCCGCUGUGAAAACUCGAGGCUCAACCUCGAGACGCCGGUGGAAACCAUCAGACUAGAGUCCGGAAGAGGAGAGUGGAAUUCCUGGUGUAGCGGUGAAAUGCGUAGAUAUUGGGAGGAACACCAGUGGCGAAGGCGGCUCACUGGACCGGAACUGACGCUGAGGCGCGAAAGCGUGGGGAGCAAACGGG